GUAGGUGGCAAGCGUUGUCCGGAAUUAUUGGGGCGUAAAGCGCGCGCAGGCGGUUCUUUAAGUCUGAUGUGAAAGCCCACGGGCUCAAUCGUGGAGGGUCAUUGGAAACUGGAGAACUUGAGUACAGAAGAGGAAAGCGGAAUUCCACGUGUAGCGGUGAAAUGCGUAGAGAUGUGGAGGAACACCAGUGGCGAAGGCGGCUUUCUGGUCUGUAACUGACGCUGAGGCGCGUAAGCGUGGGGAGCAAACAGGAUUAGAUACCCUGGUAGUCCACGCCGUAAACGAUGAGUGCUAAGUGUUAGGGGGUUUCCGCCCCUUAGUGCUGCAGCUAACGCAUUAAGCACUCCGCCUGGGGAGUACGGCCGCAAAGGCUG
This 374-nucleotide ribosomal RNA is filed under the name uncultured organism. Its description in RNAcentral is "partial 16S ribosomal RNA". It matches the Rfam family "Bacterial small subunit ribosomal RNA", at positions 527 to 896 of the family's 1533-position model. The record is from RNAcentral.